UGAACAAGAAUGCUGAGAGGAU
Molecule: microRNA, 22 nt
Filed under: Aedes aegypti (yellow fever mosquito)
Lineage: Eukaryota; Metazoa; Arthropoda; Insecta; Diptera; Culicidae
Description: aae-miR-11904
Source: miRBase by way of RNAcentral